UGAGGAAUAUUGGUCAAUGGGCGAGAGCCUGAACCAGCCAUGCCGCGUGCAGGAAGACGGCCCUAUGGGUUGUAAACUGCUUUUAUACAGGAAGAAACACUCCCUCGUGAGGGAGCUUGACGGUACUGUAAGAAUAAGGACCGGCUAACUCCGUGCCAGCAGCCGCGGUAAUACGGAGGGUCCGAGCGUUAUCCGGAAUCAUUGGGUUUAAAGGGUCCGUAGGCGGGCAAUUAAGUCAGGGGUGAAAGUUUGCGGCUCAACCGUAAAAUUGCCCUUGAUACUGGUUGUCUUGAAUUACUGUGAAGUGGUUAGAAUAUGUAGUGUAGCGGUGAAAUGCAUAGAUAUUACAUAGAAUACCAAUUGCGAAGGCAGAUCACUAACAGUAUAUUGACGCUGAGGGACGAAAGCGUGGGGAGCGAACAGG
This 424-nucleotide ribosomal RNA is filed under the name uncultured bacterium. RNAcentral describes it as "bacterial SSU rRNA". It matches the Rfam family "Bacterial small subunit ribosomal RNA", at positions 355 to 776 of the family's 1533-position model. The record is from RNAcentral.